UACGUAGGUGACAAGCGUUGUCCGGAUUUACUGGGCGUAAAGAGCGCGCAGGCGGUCGUUCAAGUCGGGUGUGAAAGCCCCCGGCUCAACUGGGGAGGGUCACUCGAUACUGAUCGACUCGAAGGCAGGAGAGGGAAGUGGAAUUCCCGGUGUAGUGGUGAAAUGCGUAGAUAUCAAGAGGAACACCUGAGGUGAAGGCGGGUUGCUGGGCCAACACUGACGCUGAUGCGCGAAAGCCAGGGGAGCAAACGGG
RNAcentral lists this ribosomal RNA (253 nucleotides) under uncultured bacterium. RNAcentral describes it as "partial 16S ribosomal RNA". It matches the Rfam family "Bacterial small subunit ribosomal RNA", at positions 524 to 776 of the family's 1533-position model. The record is from RNAcentral.